GGGCCGAGCGGCAUGGAUGCCGCGAGAGCCGCAUUGGGCCAUGGAUGGCCCGUUUGCGGCGGGCCC
Pseudomonas sp. Bc-h is the source of this 66-nucleotide non-coding RNA. Lineage: Bacteria; Pseudomonadati; Pseudomonadota; Gammaproteobacteria; Pseudomonadales; Pseudomonadaceae. The record is from Rfam.